RNAcentral lists this long non-coding RNA (885 nucleotides) under Nicotiana tabacum (common tobacco). RNAcentral describes it as "long non-coding RNA (NTAB_LNC000970)". The record is from RNAcentral. Lineage: Eukaryota; Viridiplantae; Streptophyta; Magnoliopsida; Solanales; Solanaceae.
UGGCCAUUCAAUCAUUGCCAAAAAAAAGGAAGAAAAUAUGCAAGAUAAGUAGUAGCAAGUGAAAUACAAACUAUCCCUAGACCCUAUAUGCUGAAAAGUUAAAAGCACAUAGAUGCGUAACUAUUUGGUUCGAACCCACGACACUUCUGAAUAAGUUUAGGCGCUUCACCAUCAGAGUUGCGCCUUCCUUUGUGACAAGUAAUGUAAUUUUAACAUAUUUGGUUCGUUUUUGUAUACUAAUCAAAUAUAUAUAUAGGUAAAUUUUCCAACGAAGUGGUGUCGGAUGACACCACUUAAGCUAAGGUGGCUCCGCCCCUGCUCCCGGCUACAUUCCAUCCAAAACACGUUUUACAGGUUCAAUCAUAUUGCUACAGGAUUUUCCAUGGCCAUUCCUUUCCAGUUCUGAUGUCUUCAUGAAUAGCAAUUGUCGACAAAACAUCGAACAUUGAACAUCGAAUAUCGAACAUCGAUAGCAAACAUCAAAUCUCAUGGUUUCUAACACAAAAUCAAAACCUGACAAAUAAAUCCCCCAAUUUCGCAAACUAAAAAUCACAAAAUAUAUCGCAUAAUACAAACAAAACAGAAGCAAAAUAAUGGGUUUAUCAGAAAUAUUAUCCAUAAAGAAAAUAGAGGGAGCAAUGAAAUAAUUUUUCAGACUAGGGAAGAAGAAAGCAAAAUCGAAUAGUAAUAGCAAACAUCGAACAGGUAAAACCCGAAAGCCUACCUCAGAGAUUGUGGUAUGUUAGCCGAUAAUGGUCGUCCCUCACCGGAAAUAAUCGUCCUUUACCGGAGCUGGUCGACAGAGUUCGCCGGUGGGUUCUAGGUUGAUGAACAGAGAGAGAGGUGUUUGAGAUUUUGGGGGAAUCGUUGUCUGAGAGUGAAGUC